This 1352-nucleotide ribosomal RNA is filed under the name human gut metagenome. RNAcentral's name for it is "bacterial LSU rRNA". It matches the Rfam family "Bacterial large subunit ribosomal RNA", at positions 623 to 1991 of the family's 2925-position model. The record is from RNAcentral.
GCGAGUUACUAAUGCCAGCGAGGUUAAGAUGUCAGAAGCAUCGGAGCCGAAGGGAAACCAAGUCUGAAUAGGGCGUAGAGUUGGUAUUAGUAGACCCGAAACCGGGUGACCUAUCCAUGUCCAGGUUGAAGGAACCGUAAAAGGUUUUGGAGGACCGAACACACAUGUGUUGAAAAACGUGGUGAUGAGGUGUGGAUAGCGGAGAAAUUCCAAUCGAACUCGGAGAUAGCUGGUUCUCCUCGAAAUAGCUUUAGGGCUAGCCUCGAGCUGGAGUCUAACGGAGGUAAAGCACUGAACUGACGCGGGGCCCAAAAAGGUUACCAACUCAUAUCAAACUAAGAAUGCCGUCAAGAUACCCUCGGGAGUCAGUCUGCGUGAGAUAAGUCGCGUGGACAAAAGGGAAAGAGCCCAGACCGACAGCUAAGGUCCCAAAGUACGUGUUAAGUGGAAAAGGAUGUGGGAUUUCAUAGACAACUAGGAUGUUGGCUUAGAAGCAGCCAUACAUUUAAAGAGUGCGUAAUAGCUCACUAGUCGAGAAAACCUGCGCCGAAAAUGUAACGGGGCUAAAACACGACACCGAAGCUACGGAUUUCCUACUAGGUAGGAAGUGGUAGAGGAGCAUCCUGCAAGGACGAAGCCAAAGUGAGAGCGAUGGUGGACGAAACAGGAGAGAGAAUGCCGGAAUGAGUAGCGAGAUACAUGUGAGAAACAUGUAGGCCGAAUAUCUAAGGAUUCCUGGGUAAAGCUAAUCUUCCCAGGGUUAGUCGGGGCCUAAGGCGAGGACGAAAGUCGUAGUCGAUGGAUAACAGGUUGAUAUUCCUGUACUACACAUAAUCAGAACUGUGGGGACGCAGGAGGAUAGGGAAACCGGGGAAUGGAAAGACCCGGUCAAGCGUAAAGCUGUGGGAGAUAGGCAAAUCCGUCUCCUGUAAGUGAAACGUGAUGAGGACUGAAAAAAAGUAAGGAAGUUUCCGAAUCCACACUGCCGAGAAAAGCCGCUAUUGCGUUAUGUGUACCCGUACCGUAAACCGACACAGGUAGAUGAGGAGAAAAUCCACAGGCCGACGGGAGAAGUGUUGUUAAGGAACUCGGCAAAAUGACCCCGUAACUUCGGGAUAAGGGGAGCCUCGCAAGAGGCCGCAGAAAAGAGGCACAAGCAACUGUUUAGCAAAAACAUAGGUCUAUGCGAAACCGUAAGGUGAAGUAUAUGGGCUGACGCCUGCCCGGUGCUGGAAGGUUAAAAGGAGAGGUCAGCGCAAGCGAAGCUUUGAAUUCAAGCCCCAGUAAACGGCGGCCGUAACUAUAACGGUCCUAAGGUAGCGAAAUUCCUUGUCAGGUAAGUUCUGACCCGC